Molecule: transfer RNA, 69 nt
Filed under: Helina impuncta
Lineage: Eukaryota; Metazoa; Arthropoda; Insecta; Diptera; Muscidae
Description: tRNA-Ala
Rfam family: tRNA
About the family: Transfer RNA (tRNA) molecules are approximately 80 nucleotides in length. Their secondary structure includes four short double-helical elements and three loops (D, anti-codon, and T loops).
Source: RNAcentral
AGGGUUAUAGUUAAAAUAAUAACAUUUGAUUUGCAAUCAAAAAAUAUUAAUUUAUAUUAAUUUACCUUA